AAUCAAGUGCCUUAAGGGUGUUCGGUGGAUGCCUUGGCGCUGAGAGGCGAUGAAGGACGUGCUACGCUGCGAUAAGCCGUGGGGAGCUGCGAAGAAGCUUUGAUCCAUGGAUUUCCGAAUGGGGAAACCCACCUUCGAUAGCCGGAACUCCAAGACCUCAGUCGAAAGACUGUGGUGUGGGGUUCGAUCAGAAAUGAGAGAUGCCUAAGCCUUUAGAUUUCGAUCGAAGAGGUUUUGGAUUUCCGGUUAUCAAGAGAAGGUAUGAGACUUCUGAAUACAUAGGAGGUUUCAAGCAAACCCAGGGAACUGAAACAUCUAAGUACCUGGAGGAAAGGACAUCAACAGAGACUCCGUUAGUAGUGGCGAGCGAACGCGGACCAGGCC
Molecule: ribosomal RNA, 384 nt
Filed under: Bradyrhizobium japonicum
Lineage: Bacteria; Pseudomonadati; Pseudomonadota; Alphaproteobacteria; Hyphomicrobiales; Nitrobacteraceae
Also listed under: 1 other name
Description: bacterial LSU rRNA
Rfam family: Bacterial large subunit ribosomal RNA
Source: RNAcentral